This 274-nucleotide ribosomal RNA is filed under the name uncultured bacterium. Its description in RNAcentral is "partial 16S ribosomal RNA". It matches the Rfam family "Bacterial small subunit ribosomal RNA", at positions 523 to 796 of the family's 1533-position model. The record is from RNAcentral.
AUACGAAGGUCCCGAGCGUUAUUCGGAAUCACUGGGCGUAAAGAGUAUGUAGGCGGUUUGGUAAGUCAGGUGUGAAAUCCCGGAGCUCAACUUCGGAACUGCAUCCGAUACUGCCAGACUAGAGUAAUGGAGAGGCAGGUGGAAUUCUCGGUGUAGCAGUGAAAUGCGUGGAUAUCGAGAGGAAGACCAAUGGCGAAGGCAGCCUGCUGGACAUUUACUGACGCUGAGAUACGAAGGCUAGGGGAGCGAAAGGGAUUAGAAACCCGAGUAGUCC